GAUGAACGCUGGCGGCGUGCCUAAUACAUGCAAGUCGAGCGAACAGACGAGGAGCUUGCUCCUCUGACGUUAGCGGCGGACGGGUGAGUAACACGUGGAUAACCUACCUAUAGACUGGGAUAACUUCGGGAAACCGGAGCUAAUACCGGAUAAUAUAUUGAACCGCAUGGUUCAAUAGUGAAAGACGGUUUUGCUGUCACUUAUAGAUGGAUCCGUGCCGCAUUAGCUAGUUGGUAAGGUAACGGCUUACCAAGGCAACGAUGCGUAGCCGACCUGAGAGGGUGAUCGGCCACACUGGAACUGAGACACGGUCCAGACUCCUACGGGAGGCAGCAGUAGGGAAUCUUCCGCAAUGGGCGAAAGCCUGACGGAGCAACGCCGCGUGAGUGAUGAAGGUCUUCGGAUCGUAAAACUCUGUUAUUAGGGAAGAACAAAUGUGUAAGUAACUAUGCACGUCUUGACGGUACCUAAUCAGAAAGCCACGGCUAACUACGUG
RNAcentral lists this ribosomal RNA (496 nucleotides) under uncultured bacterium. RNAcentral's name for it is "partial 16S ribosomal RNA". It matches the Rfam family "Bacterial small subunit ribosomal RNA", at positions 28 to 507 of the family's 1533-position model. The record is from RNAcentral.